AUCUUUGUGCAGUGGCAAUAUUGUAACCAGUGAGGUUUACUUGAGGUGUGAUUAUUGCUAAUUGAAAACAUUUCCCAAUAUCUGGCCAUGACAAUUUGUAAUACAGUUAGCAUUGACAAUUUUUGAUGGUCUCUAUGGGGA
This is a small nuclear RNA of Nycticebus coucang (slow loris), 141 nucleotides long. RefSeq annotates it as U4 spliceosomal RNA. The record is from RefSeq and is a predicted model, not a curated record. NCBI's taxonomy places the organism in Eukaryota, Metazoa, Chordata, Mammalia, Primates, Lorisidae. The transcript has a single exon.